This 380-nucleotide ribosomal RNA is filed under the name uncultured archaeon. Its description in RNAcentral is "bacterial SSU rRNA". It matches the Rfam family "Archaeal small subunit ribosomal RNA", at positions 78 to 458 of the family's 1478-position model. The record is from RNAcentral.
AAGGCAGACGGCUCAGUAACGCGUAGUCAACCUACCCUAUGGACGGGGAUAACCUCGGGAAACUGAGAAUAAUACCCGAUAGAACAUUAUGCCUGGAAUGGUUUAUGUUUCAAAUAAUUUAUUGCCGUAGGAUGGGACUGCGGCCUAUCAGUUUGUUGGUGAGGUAAUGGCCCACCAAGACUAUUACAGGUACGGGCUCUGAGAGGAGUAGCCCGGAGAUGGGUACUGAGACACGGACCCAGGCCCUAUGGGGCGCAGCAGGCGAGAAAACUUUGCAAUGUGCGAAAGCACGACAAGGUUAAUCCGAGUGGUUUCUGCUAAAGGAACCUUUUGUCAGUCCUAGAAACACUGAUGAAUAAGGGGUGGGCAAGUUCUGGUGU